UGGACCUGGAGCGAAUCUCAGAAAUAACGUCUCAGUUCGGAUUGUAGUCUGCAACUCGACUACAUGAAGCUGGAAUCGCUAGUAAUCGCGGAUCAGAAUGCCGCGGUGAAUACGUUCCCGGGUCUUGUACACACCGCCCGUCACACCAUGGGAGUCGGGAAUGCCCGAAGCCAGUGACCCAAGCGAGAGCAGGGAGCUGUCGAAGGCAGGCCGGAUAACUGGGGUGAAGUCGUAACAAGGUACC
This 244-nucleotide ribosomal RNA is filed under the name uncultured bacterium. RNAcentral describes it as "partial 16S ribosomal RNA". It matches the Rfam family "Bacterial small subunit ribosomal RNA", at positions 1257 to 1500 of the family's 1533-position model. The record is from RNAcentral.